UACGGGGGGGGCAAGCGUUGUUCGGAUUUACUGGGCGUAAAGCGCGCGUAGGCGGAUCUGCAAGUCGGGGGUGAAAUCCCGAGGCUCAACCUCGGAACUGCCUUCGAUACUGCGGGUCUCGAGUCCGGGAGAGGUGAGUGGAAUUCCUAGUGUAGAGGUGAAAUUCGUAGAUAUUAGGAAGAACACCAGUGGCGAAGGCGGCUCACUGGCCCGGUACUGACGCUGAGGCGCGAAAGCGUGGGGAGCAAACAGG
RNAcentral lists this ribosomal RNA (253 nucleotides) under uncultured bacterium. RNAcentral's name for it is "partial 16S ribosomal RNA". It matches the Rfam family "Bacterial small subunit ribosomal RNA", at positions 524 to 776 of the family's 1533-position model. The record is from RNAcentral.